This 500-nucleotide ribosomal RNA is filed under the name uncultured bacterium. RNAcentral describes it as "partial 16S ribosomal RNA". It matches the Rfam family "Bacterial small subunit ribosomal RNA", at positions 30 to 523 of the family's 1533-position model. The record is from RNAcentral.
AUUGAACGCUGGCGGAAUGCUUUACACAUGCAAGUCGAACGGCAGCACGGACUUCGGUCUGGUGGCGAGUGGCGAACGGGUGAGUAAUAUAUCGGAACGUGCCCAGUCGUGGGGGAUAACGUAGUGAAAAUUACGCUAAUACCACAUACGAUCUAUGGAUGAAAGCGGGGGACCUUUGGGCCUCGCGCGAUUGGAGCGGCCGAUAUCAGAUUAGGUAGUUGGUGGGGUAAAGGCUCACCAAGCCAACGAUCUGUAGCAGGUCUGAGAGGACGACCAGCCACACUGGGACUGAGACACGGCCCAGACUCCUACGGGAGGCAGCAGUGGGGAAUUUUGGACAAUGGACGCAAGUCUGAUCCAGCCAUUCCGCGUGCAGGACGAAGGCCUUCGGGUUGUAAACUGCUUUUGUACAGAACGAAAAGGUUUCUACUAAUACUAGGAGCUCAUGACGGUACUGUAAGAAUAAGCACCGGCUAACUACGUGCCAGCAGCCGCGGUAA